RNAcentral lists this ribosomal RNA (520 nucleotides) under Bacillus subtilis. RNAcentral describes it as "bacterial SSU rRNA". It matches the Rfam family "Bacterial small subunit ribosomal RNA", at positions 202 to 714 of the family's 1533-position model. The record is from RNAcentral. Lineage: Bacteria; Bacillati; Bacillota; Bacilli; Caryophanales; Bacillaceae.
UGGCUUCGGCUACCACUUACANAUGGACCCGCGGCGCAUUANCUAGUUGGUGAGGUAACGGCUCACCAAGGCGACGAUGCGUAGCCGACCUGAGAGGGUGAUCGGCCACACUGGGACUGAGACACGGCCCAGACUCCUACGGGAGGCAGCAGUAGGGAAUCUUCCGCAAUGGACGAAAGUCUGACGGAGCAACGCCGCGUGAGUGAUGAAGGUUUUCGGAUCGUAAAGCUCUGUUGUUAGGGAAGAACAAGUGCCGUUCAAAUAGGGCGGCACCUUGACGGUACCUAACCAGAAAGCCACGGCUAACUACGUGCCAGCAGCCGCGGUAAUACGUAGGUGGCAAGCGUUGUCCGGAAUUAUUGGGCGUAAAGGGCUCGCAGGCGGUUUCUUAAGUCUGAUGUGAAAGCCCCCGGCUCAACCGGGGAGGGUCAUUGGAAACUGGGGAACUUGAGUGCAGAAGAGGAGAGUGGAAUUCCACGUGUAGCGGUGAAAUGCGUAGAGAUGUGGAGGAACACCAGUG